AGCGACACUGUGUGUUGUUGGGUAGGGGAGCGUUCUGUAAGCCUGUGAAGGUGUGUCGUGAGGCAUGCUGGAGGUAUCAGAAGUGCGAAUGCUGACAUAAGUAACGAUAAAGCGGGUGAAAAGCCCGCUCGCCGGAAGACCAAGGGUUCCUGUCCAACGUUAAUCGGGGCAGGGUGAGUCGACCCCUAAGGCGAGGCCGAAAGGCGUAGUCGAUGGGAAACGGGUUAAUAUUCCCGUACUUGGUGUUACUGCGAAGGGGGGACGGAGAAGGCUAUGUUGGCCGGGCGACGGUUGUCCCGGUUUAAGCGUGUAGGUGUGUGUUCCAGGUAAAUCCGGUUCACUUUAACACUGAGGCGUGACGACGAGGCACUACGGUGCUGAAGCAACAAAUGCCCUGCUUCCAGGAAAAGCCUCUAAGCAUCAGGUAACAUCAAAUCGUACCCCAAACCGACACAGGUGGUCAGGUAGAGAAUACCAAGGCGCUUGAGAGAACUCGGGUGAAGGAACUAGGCAAAAUGGUGCCGUAACUUCGGGAGAAGGCACGCUGACACGUAGGUGAAGUGAUUUACUCAUGGAGCUGAAGUCAGUCGAAGAUACCAGCUGGCUGCAACUGUUUAUUAAAAACACAGCACUGUGCAAACACGAAAGUGGACGUAUACGGUGUGACGCCUGCCCGGUGCCGGAAGGUUAAUUGAUGGGGUCAGCGCAAGCGAAGCUCCUGAUCGAAGCCCCGGUAAACGGCGGCCGUAACUAUAACGGUCCUAAGGUAGCGAAAUUCCUUGUCGGGUAAGUUCCGACCUGCACGAAUGGCGUAAUGAUGGCCAGGCUGUCUCCACCCGAGACUCAGUGAAAUUGAACUCGCUGUGAAGAUGCAGUGUACCCGCGGCAAGACGGAAAGACCCCGUGAACCUUUACUAUAGCUUGACACUGAACAUUGAGCCUUGAUGUGUAG
This 952-nucleotide ribosomal RNA is filed under the name Salmonella enterica subsp. enterica serovar Stanley. Its description in RNAcentral is "partial 23S ribosomal RNA". It matches the Rfam family "Bacterial large subunit ribosomal RNA", at positions 1207 to 2141 of the family's 2925-position model. The record is from RNAcentral. Lineage: Bacteria; Pseudomonadati; Pseudomonadota; Gammaproteobacteria; Enterobacterales; Enterobacteriaceae.